Molecule: long non-coding RNA, 2768 nt
Organism: Nerophis ophidion (straightnose pipefish)
Lineage: Eukaryota; Metazoa; Chordata; Actinopteri; Syngnathiformes; Syngnathidae
Exons: 2
Source: RefSeq, a predicted model, not a curated record
UCAUACUGCACAACUGGGCUCUACAUCACCACCUUAAGUUGUAUUUCCAACCCUAACACACACACACACACACACAACCCACAGAGCUCCUACCUGGUCCAGGGAGUCCCGGCUCCUCCUCGGCCUGCCCUGGAUGCUUGUUGGCGGGGACAGAUCUGUGAGCGCUCUCCCCCGGCAUGCUUCUCUGCUGGCUGACUCUGACGCAACAAUAAAAGCCAGAACAGACAAGAUGGAUCUGCAGUCUCUCGAUGCCCAUGUCCUCCUCCCCUCCUCUCCAUCCCACCUCCUUCCAAGCUGGGCCUGGAUGUGAGGGAGAUGACGUCAGCAGGUUCCUGCCACUCAGCGCUGCCCCUCGGCGGCGAAGAAGAGUACUGCAAAAACAAGGCGGCCAUGGAAGUGUCAAAAGAUAAGCGAGCGCGCCUGAAUGUGUCCUACGAGGCCACGGCCCCAGGACAACAUCUGUUUCUUCUCCCUCACCUCCGCUGCAUCCUUCUCCUUUGAAGAAGAAACGGUGGAGAAGGCAAAGGCCGCAACGCUGACACCGCUGAUCAGUUUCCAUGGCAACCCUAAACUUCCCCACCACAUUGUUGCAGAGCAGAGCAGAAGUCACCGGGUUCGUUGCUUACAGUGAUUAUAUUUUUUUAAGGGAGUAGAUGAGAUUGUGUGGUCACAUGUUGCAAGACUACAUUUCAGUUCAGGUGAGGCAGGACUCUCAUUAAAACAUCCACUGACAAACACAUGAUCGUCGUGUGGACCUGACGGCUAAUUGUUAUAAUCGCACUUUGUUUGGGGCAGCGCGGUGCGACGGGUUGGUGCGUUUGCCUCACAAUACGACGGUUCUAGGUUCGACCCUACGCUCGGGAUCUUUCUGUGUGGAGUUUGCAUGUUCUUCCCGUGACUGCGGUGGUUCCCUCCGGGUACUCCGGCUUCCUCCCACCUCCAAAGACAUGCACCUGGGGAUAGGUUGAUUGGCAACACUAAAUGGUCCCUAGUGUGUGAAUGUGAGUGUGAAUGUUGUCUGUCUAUCUGUGUUGGCCCUUUGGUUGGAUAGUGACUUGUCCAGGGUGUAUGCUGCCUUCCGCUCGUAUGAAGCUGAGAUAGGCUCCAGCACCCCCCGCGACCCCUAAAGGGACAAGCAGUAGAAAAUCGAUGGAUGUACAAGGAAAUAUAGUAUCUUUUUCUCUUAUUUGGAUUGUUUUACCUCGAGAUCACGGGUGUCCAAAGUACUUUUUGGCCCACAGCUCGUUUUUUUGAAAAUGAGGGUAAUUCAUGAUUGAUUAUUACGCUAUAUUUUUAGAUAUUACACUAAUAACUAAUGCACAAUAUAAAAUGUAGGAUUGUAAGUACUCCUCUGCAUACCAUUGUAUGCUUAUCAACAUUAAAGAAAACAUAAAAAAAUAUAUAUUCAGAACACGUAUCUUUAAUAACAUUGUUUUUAGUCAGUAAUAGAAAAUAUUUAACGUGCAUCAAUUUGCCCGAAAUAUUGGUGUGUGUGUAUAUAUAUAUAUAUAUAUUAUACAUACAUAUAUACAUACAGACAUACACCUACAUAUAUAUAUACUUAUAUAUACACAUACAUAUAUAUCCAUCCAUCCAUUUCUAUAGCUUAUUCCCUUUUGGGGUCACGGGGGGCGCUGGUGCCUAUCUCAGCUACAAUCCGACGGAAGGCGGUGUACAACCUGGACAAGUCGCCAUCUCAUUGCAGGGCAUACAUAUAUAUAAAAUACAUAAAUAUACAUGUAUGUAUAUAUACAUAUAUAUGUACAAAUAUAGAUAUGUAUACAUAUGUGUAUGUAUGUCUAUAUAUACAUAUAAAUAUAUAUCUAUAUAUAUAUAUUGAUAUAAAACCCCGUUUCACCGUGCUGCCCCCAUUUGAUACGAAAAAAUUAAAUACGAAAAAAAAAAAACUCAAUAAUAAUGCAUUCAAAUUGAUCAGCGACAAUAACGCAGGGGAACAAUAUAUAAAAUAUUAAAAUUAAUAAAACAAUUUGUGCUAAUAUUUUUUUAUUUAUAAAACUUAGGAUGUCAGGAUUAAAUGGCUACUAUGAGCACAUGUAGUGCACAGCCUUUCGAAGCGGGGUUUGAAGCAUGAUACUGAUAAUGCAUGUUUCCUGGGUCCACACGUGCGCCCCCGCCCCACUAUUUGAAAUGGAUUGCUCUAUUAUUGACCUCAAUUGGAUUGUUUUUAUUGCAUUAUGUACAAUGUGUAUCGCAAUGGCCGCUGCAUCCUUUACGUUUUCUGUGUGCGGCCCCUGGUGUAUGGACCUUCUUGCCAUUGAAAUGCAUGAUUGUACAAAAGUCGAGUGAGAAUGUCUCCUAAAGGUCAAGUCAAUUUCACAAAUUGGAAUUGCAUUUGAAAUGUAAAUUGAACAAAGUACAAUUGACAUAGCCUUUCAUUCCAAUUAAUAGAUUUGGUGUUUUCCUCAGCCAUGCUUUGCAGGAGUUUGUAGUUAUUAUUAACAUGAACCUCAUGGACACAUUUUAUGUUCAGGUAAAUUGAUGGAGUUUGUUAUAACCUUUCUACACAUAUAAUUACAGUACACAUAUUUGACAGUUAAGAAUGAAACCUUGUACAAAACUUUAAUCAGAUGUAUUAUAACUUUUGUUUCAUUGUAUUUUUAUUGAUUUGUUUUUUACUUGUUUUAUUUUUAAUACUUUUUAUUGUUUCUUUUUAUGUGCAGCACUCUGGAAACAGUUCUGUGUUUUAUAGUGCUUUUAUAAAAAAAAAAGGGGGAUUGGACUGAAUACAACUUUAACAUUUUUGAAAA